Molecule: non-coding RNA, 143 nt
Filed under: Serratia odorifera
Lineage: Bacteria; Pseudomonadati; Pseudomonadota; Gammaproteobacteria; Enterobacterales; Yersiniaceae
Also listed under: 1 other name
Description: MoCo sequence
Rfam family: Molybdenum/Tungsten riboswitch aptamer (Moco RNA motif)
Source: RNAcentral
AUGAAAUCAAAACUCCUAGCCCUUGGGCCUACGUUAUUCCACGUGAAUGAUAUGGCGCCUGGGCCGUGGCGAAGUCAGCCACCAGGGUGCAGCUAGAAAUGUCUGCAUCUCCCGACUUGGAAAGGUGUUAUGGUGCCGCAACU